UUCUUAUUCAGGGAUGGGAGUGGGUUGCCUCUCAAAAAUACUAGGAAUAAUAUGUUUAUCAUUGGUUAGAACAGUGUUGUUAUGUGACCGGCCACGACGAAUGCACCUUGUACGUUUGGAUAAGCCCAGGUAUCGGGACCGGCAUCGCAUCUUCUCAUUAUAUAUCGUUACCGAUACAUCCCGUGGGGGCCCGGGGGGGGAUGAUGCUGGUCGUGCGUGGUGCCAUUGCUGCUGCCGUUACCCGGCCGCCUCUGCCUCUGGUGAGAUGCAGGACGGAGGUUGAGGGGAACAAGCGCCGAGGGAUGCCUGGGUUCGGGCUCGGGGGAGAGGCGGGAAAGGAGGAGAAGAAGAAGAAGAAGAGGAAGAAGGAGAAGGUGGAGGUGGUGUGGCAGUGCGCCCGGGGCUGCGGCGCCUGCUGCAAGCUGGACAAGGGCCCCGCCUUCCCCGCCCCGGAGGACAUCUUCGCCGACGACCCAUCCCACCUCCAGCUUUACAAAAGCCUGAUAGGCCCUGACGGCUGGUGCGUCCACUACCAUCAUCCAACCCGGACCUGUUCCAUCUACCCAGACCGGCCCUUCUUCUGCCGGGUUGAGCCUGCUGUCUUUGAGAAGCUGUACGGCAUCGACGAGAGGAGAUUCAAUCGAGAGGCUUGCAGGGAUACCAUCAAAGCAGUUUAUGGCUCCGGUUCGGACGAACUCAAGAAUUUUGACCGUCUCACUAGAAAUCCCAAAUAAAUGGACUCAAUGGUGUGACAUAAUUGGCAUCAUGACGUGGGCACUCUUGUUCUGUAAACUAUGAUAACUUGGUUCCUCUCACAAGCAUAAUGUAGCAGUAAGGGACGAGAUAUCUUGCUGUGAACACUUCAUGUAUUAAUACUAUGUUGGUCCAUAGUUAACAGAUUAUCUACUUCAUCUAUUUGCCAAUGUGAAUGCUGACAUAUGUAAAGGUAUUCCAGUUCUUAUUUUGAUGCAAUGGUUUUACAUAAUUUCUAAAAUGUUCGUUUGCUUUGUGUGCUAGAACUUGGAGAACAUUAAAUUAUAUUCUUGAAUUUUCGUCAGUAUUUUUCACUGAUAUGUGUUGUAUCUCACAGUGCUUCUGAAGCUGGCAUAUAAUUUAAGUGAACAUUGUCAUGGGCAUCUUCUUAGUUUCUUGCAUGCCUCUUUUAUUAUGGCUUAGGAUGAUUAUCUUUUUACAAGGUCGAUUUUCUGUUCUGGAGUAUUCCUUGAAUCUACUACUGGGACGGCUCAUACUUAAAGAUUUGUUUGUGAAAUAGAUAAGUGAUUGCUCGUUCUUGCAAACGCGAUGUGUUAUAUGUUCCAUUGCACUAUACAGAUAAUGCAACUUUUUCGGAAGACAAAUACUUGCACAGAUCAAAAUAUGGACUUGAUUCUGUCAGCAAAGUUUCUGCAAAUUCACAGUAACCUUUCGUUACCAGAUGGAACUUAAUCUGCUUGGCUGCCAAGCAUGUUGCUUUCAUUAUUAUUGUCAGAUCAUUGCUUUUAAAUCACAAAUAUAGUGCUUCCAUCUAUUACUCUGCA
Non-coding RNA from Elaeis guineensis (African oil palm), 1538 nucleotides. NCBI's taxonomy places the organism in Eukaryota, Viridiplantae, Streptophyta, Magnoliopsida, Arecales, Arecaceae. The record is from RefSeq and is a predicted model, not a curated record.